GACGAACGCUGGCGGCGUGCUUAACACAUGCAAGUCGAACGGAAAGGCCCCUUUGGGGGUACUCGAGUGGCGAACGGGUGAGUAACACGUGAGUAACCUGCCCUUGACUUCGGGAUAACUUCAGGAAACUGGGGCUAAUACCGGAUAGGAAUCCUUGCUGCAUGGUGGGGGUUGGAAAGCUUCGGCGGUUUUGGAUGGACUCGCGGCUUAUCAGCUUGUUGGUGGGGUAGUGGCUUACCAAGGCUUUGACGGGUAGCCGGCCUGAGAGGGCGACCGGCCACAGUGGGACUGAGAUACGGCCCAGACUCCUACGGGAGGCAGCAGGGGGGAAUAUUGCACAAUGGGCGGAAGCCUGAUGCAGCAACGCCGCGGGCGGGAGGACGGCCUUCGGGUUGGAAACCGCUUUCAGCAGGGGCGAAGCUUGUGGUGACGGUACCUGCAGAAGAAGCACCGGCUAACUACGUG
This 465-nucleotide ribosomal RNA is filed under the name uncultured bacterium. Its description in RNAcentral is "partial 16S ribosomal RNA". It matches the Rfam family "Bacterial small subunit ribosomal RNA", at positions 28 to 507 of the family's 1533-position model. The record is from RNAcentral.